GGCCCUACGGGGGGCAGCAGUGAGGAAUAUUGGUCAAUGGGCGGGAGCCUGAACCAGCCAAGCCGCGUGAAGGAAGAAGGCGCCAAGCGUCGUAAACUUCUUUUGUCGGGGAACAAAGGGCGCCACGUGUGGCGUUGUGAGUGUACCCGAAGAAAAAGCAUCGGCUAACUCCGUGUCAGCAGCCGCGGUAAUACGGAGGAUGCGAGCGUUAUCCGGAUUUAUUGGGUUUAAAGGGUGCGCAGGCGGAAGAUCAAGUCAGCGGUAAAAUUGAGAGGCUCAACCUCUUCGAGCCGUUGAACCUGGUU
This 305-nucleotide ribosomal RNA is filed under the name uncultured bacterium. RNAcentral's name for it is "bacterial SSU rRNA". It matches the Rfam family "Bacterial small subunit ribosomal RNA", at positions 335 to 638 of the family's 1533-position model. The record is from RNAcentral.